This 329-nucleotide ribosomal RNA is filed under the name uncultured eukaryote. RNAcentral's name for it is "partial 18S ribosomal RNA". It matches the Rfam family "Eukaryotic small subunit ribosomal RNA", at positions 1470 to 1796 of the family's 1831-position model. The record is from RNAcentral.
CCCUUAGAUGUCCUGGGCCGCACGCGCGCUACACUGAGUGUCUGAGAUACGAGUCUGCCUGGUCCGGCAAGGUCUAGGUAAUCGCUAAAAGACACAUCAUGCUUGGGAUAGAUUAUUGCAAAUAUUAAUCUUGAACGAGGAAUUCCUAGUAAGCGCAAGUCAACAGCUUGCGUUGAUUACUUCCCUGCCCUUUGUACACACCGCCCGUCGCUACUACUGAUUGGAUGUUUAAGCGAGGUUCUCGAACUGCUAGCGACUUAGCUUCGGUGAGGUCGCAGUGUGGGAAGUGAACCUAGCUUUGGUGUCUAGAGGAAGUAAAAGUCGUAACA